This 428-nucleotide ribosomal RNA is filed under the name uncultured bacterium. RNAcentral's name for it is "bacterial SSU rRNA". It matches the Rfam family "Bacterial small subunit ribosomal RNA", at positions 29 to 453 of the family's 1533-position model. The record is from RNAcentral.
AGUGAACGCUGGCGGCAGGCCUAACACAUGCAAGUCGAACGGUAGCACAGAGGAGCUUGCUCCUUGGGUGACGAGUGGCGGACGGGUGAGGAAUAUAUCGGAAUCUACCCAAUCGUGGGGGAUAACGUAGGGAAACUUACGCUAAUACCGCAUACGAUCUGAGGAUGAAAGCGGCGGACCGCAAGGCGUCGCGCGAUUGGAUGAGCCGAUAUCCGAUUAGCUAGUUGGUGAGGUAAUGGCCCACCAAGGCAACGAUCGGUAGCUGGUCUGAGAGGAUGAUCAGCCACACUGGAACUGAGACACGGUCCAGACUCCUACGGGAGGCAGCAGUGGGGAAUAUUGGACAAUGGGCGCAAGCCUGAUCCAGCCAUGCCGCGUGUGUGAAGAAGGCCUUCGGGUUGUAAAGCACUGGGUUGGGGAAGAAAAGC